GCUCAGAAGGAACGCUGGCAGCGUGCAUAACACAUGCAAGUCGAACGGUAGUAGUAUCUUCGGAUACUAUGAGAGUGGCGAACGGGUGAGUAACACGUAAGAAUCUACCUUUAGGACGGGGAUAACUUCUGGAAACGGAUGCUAAUACCCGAUAUGCUGUGGAGUGAAAUGAAUUUCGCCUAAAGAUGAUCUUGCGUCUGAUUAGCUAGAUAGGGUGGUAAUGGCGCCCUAUGGCGACGAUCAGUAGCUGGUCUGAGAGGAUGGACAGCCACAUUGGGACUGAGACACGGCCCAAACUCCUACGGGAGGCAGCAGUGGGGAAUUUUCCGCAAUGGGCGAAAGCCUGACGGAGCGACGCUGCGUGAAGGAUGACGGCCUGAGGGUUGUAAACUUCUUUUCUCGAAGAAGAAUCAAUGACGGUAUUCGAGGAAUAAGCAUCGGCUAACUCUGUGCCAGCAGCCGCGGUAAGACAGAGGAUGCAAGUGUUAUUCGGAUUGAUUGGGCGUAAAGCGUCUGUAGGCGGUUUAGAAAGUCUUUUGUGAAAUACUUCAGCUCAACUGGAGCUCCGCAAAAGAAACUUCUAGACUUGAGGGAAGUAGAGGUACAGGGAAUUUCCGGUGGAGCGGUGAAAUGCGUAGAUAUCGGAAGGAACACCAAUAUGGCGAAGGCACUGUACUGGGCUUUUCCUGACGCUCAGAGACGAAAGCUGAAGGAGUGAUUAGGAUUAGAUACCCUAGUAAUUUCAGCCGUAAACGAUGAAAACUCACUGUCGAGCCAAUAUAUGGAGCGGUGGUCAAGCUAACGCGUGAAGUUUUCCGCCUGGGGAUUACGCAUGCAAAUGUGAAACUCAAAGGAAUUGACGGGGACCCGCACAAGCGGUGGAGUAUGUGGUUUAAUUCGAUGCAACGCGAAAAACCUUACCAGGGUUUGAAAUAAUUUCAAAACUUCUCGAAAGAGAAGCCUCCUUCGGGAUGGAAUUACAGGUGGUGCAUGGCUGUCGUCAGCUCGUGUUGUGAAAUGUCAA
This 1024-nucleotide ribosomal RNA is filed under the name marine metagenome. RNAcentral describes it as "bacterial SSU rRNA". It matches the Rfam family "Bacterial small subunit ribosomal RNA", at positions 22 to 1078 of the family's 1533-position model. The record is from RNAcentral.